AUGUGCAUGUAUUAUGGAUCCCCAUUAGUCCCUGCCAAGGCAGCAGCUACUCUUCCUGUGGUUUAUUAUGGAUCCCCAUUAGUCCCUGCCAAGGCAGCAGCUACUCUUCCUGUGGUUUAUUAUGGAUCCCCAUUAGUCCCUGCCAAGGCAGCAGCUACUCUUCCUGUGGUUUAUUAUGGAUCCCCAUUAGUCCCUGCCAAGGCAGCAGCUACUCUUCCUGUGGUUUAUUAUGGAUCCCCAUUAGUCCCUGCCAAGGCAGCAGCUACUCUUCCUGUGGUUUAUUAUGGAUCCCAAUUAGUCCCUGCCAAGGCAGCAGCUACUCUUCCUGUGGUUUAUUAUGGAUCCCCAUUAGUCCCUGCCAAGGCAGCAGCUACUCUUCCUGUGGUUUAUUAUGGAUCCCCAUUAGUCCCUGCCAAGGCAGCAGCUACUCUUCCUGUGGUUUAUUAUGGAUCCCCAUUAGUCCCUGCCAAGGCAGCAGCUACUCUUCCUGUGGUUUAUUAUGGAUCCCCAUUAGUCCCUGCCAAGGCAGCAGCUACUCUUCCUGUGGUUUAUUAUGGAUCCCAAUUAGUCCCUGCCAAGGCAGCAGCUACUCUUCCUGUGGUUUAUUAUGGAUCCCCAUUAGUCCCUGCCAAGGCAGCAGCUACUCUUCCUGUGGUUUAUUAUGGAUCCCCAUUAGUCCCUGCCAAGGCAGCAGCUACUCUUCCUGUGGUUUAUUAUGGAUCCCCAUUAGUCCCUGCCAAGGCAGCAGCUACUCUUCCUGUGGUUUAUUAUGGAUCCCCAUUAGUCCCUGCCAAGGCAGCAGCUACUCUUCCUGUGGUUUAUUAUGGAUCCCCAUUAGUCCCUGCCAAGGCAGCAGCUACUCUUCCUGUGGUUUAUUAUGGAUCCCCAUUAGUCCCUGCCAAGGCAGCAGCUACUCUUCCUGUGGUUUAUUAUGGAUCCCCAUUAGUCCCUGCCAAGGCAGCAGCUACUCUUCCUGUGGUUUAUUAUGGAUCCCCAUUAGUCCCUGCCAAGGCAGCAGCUACUCUUCCUGUGGUUUAUUAUGGAUCCCCAUCAGUCCCUGCCAAGGCAGCAGCUACUCUUCCUGUGGUUUAUUAUGGAUCCCCAUUAGUCCCUGCCAAGGCAGCAGCUACUCUUCCUGUGGUUUAUUAUGGAUCCCCAUUAGUCCCUGCCAAGGCAGCAGCUACUCUUCCUGUGGUUUAUUAUGGAUCCCCAUUAGUCCCUGCCAAGGCAGCAGCUACUCUUCCUGUGGUUUAUUAUGGAUCCCCAUUAGUCCCUGCCAAGGCAGCAGCUAUUCUUCCUCGGGUCCAAACAGGAUUAAGGCAAUUAAAUACAUUUUAA
This 1338-nucleotide long non-coding RNA is filed under the name Oncorhynchus mykiss (rainbow trout). RNAcentral's name for it is "lncRNA (ENSOMYG00000059885.1)". Lineage: Eukaryota; Metazoa; Chordata; Actinopteri; Salmoniformes; Salmonidae. The record is from RNAcentral.